This is a non-coding RNA of Xiphophorus hellerii (green swordtail), 536 nucleotides long. The record is from the annotation of a RefSeq genome assembly. NCBI's taxonomy places the organism in Eukaryota, Metazoa, Chordata, Actinopteri, Cyprinodontiformes, Poeciliidae.
CUUUUUAAAAUUGAUCUCAUCCUGUCAGUCACUGUCAGAGAAGCUCUCACUGGAUCAUUUUCAACACCAACAUGUUCUCUAUAUCUGUUCUGCUGCUGCUGGCUGCUGGAUCCUGUGUGAAGUGUGAACAGCUGACACAACUGGCCUCUUUGACUGUGCAGCCAGGUCAAACUCUGAGCCUCAACUGUCUGGUCUCUUAUUCUGUCACCAGCUACGGCACACACUGGAUCCGACAACCUGCAGGAAAAGCACUUGAAUGGAUGGGUGCUAUUUGGAGUGGUGGAAGUAACGACUAUGCCGCCAAUGUUCAAGGACGUAUAGGAAUCACCAGAGACACCACUAAAAACAUUGUGUAUCUGACGCUGUCUACCAUGAAACCAGAAGAGUCUGCUGUGUAUUACUGUGCAAAAAACACACAGUGGUUAAUGUGAGCAGAGAGGCUGUACAAAAACUCUCCACAGAGCAAAAGACAUGAGUGUCAUCAGCAAGCAAUGUGGUUUUUGAUCAUUUCCUGUUUUUCCAGAAUUCUGUCCACA